This 442-nucleotide ribosomal RNA is filed under the name uncultured bacterium. RNAcentral describes it as "partial 16S ribosomal RNA". It matches the Rfam family "Bacterial small subunit ribosomal RNA", at positions 338 to 795 of the family's 1533-position model. The record is from RNAcentral.
CCUACGGGAGGCAGCAGUGGGGAAUCUUGGGCAAUGGGCGCAAGCCUGACCCAGCAACGCCGCGUGAAGGAAGAAGGCUCUAGGGUUGUUAAACUCCUUUGAUAGGGAAGAGCAGAAGACGGUACCUGUCGAAUAAGCAACGGCUAACUACGUGCGAGCAGCCGCGGUCAUACGGAGGUGGCAAGCGUUGUUCGGAAUUACUGGGUGUAAAGGGCGUGUAGCCGGGCUGACAAGUCAGUUGUGAAAUGCGCGGGCUCAACCCGCGAACUGCAUUUGAAACUGUGGGUCUAGAGUAUCGGAGAGGGAGGCGGAAUUCCUGGUGUAGCGGUGAAAUGCGUAGAUAUUAGGAGGAACACCAGUGGCGAAGGCGGCUUGCUGGACGACAACUGACGGUGAGGCACGAAGGCGUGGGGAGCAAACAGGAUUAGAUACCCGUGUAGUC